CGAAGGGGGCUAGCGUUGUUCGGAAUUACUGGGCGUAAAGCGUGCGCAGGCGGUCUUCCAAGUCAGUGGUGAAAGCCCGGAGCUCAACUCCGGAAUUGCCAUUGAAACUGUGAGACUUGAGGACGAGAGAGGUGAGUGGAAUUCCCAGUGUAGAGGUGAAAUUCGUAGAUAUUGGGAAGAACACCGGUGGCGAAGGCGGCUCACUGGCUCGUUUCUGACGCUCAGGCACGAUAGCGUGGGGAUCAAACAGGAUUAGAUACCCUGGUAGUCCACGCCGUAAACGAUGAUUGCUAGCCGUUGGGCAGCUUGCUGUUCAGUGGCGCAGCUAACGCAUUAAGCAAUCCGCCUGGGGAGUACGGCCGCAAGGUUG
RNAcentral lists this ribosomal RNA (370 nucleotides) under uncultured organism. Its description in RNAcentral is "bacterial SSU rRNA". It matches the Rfam family "Bacterial small subunit ribosomal RNA", at positions 526 to 896 of the family's 1533-position model. The record is from RNAcentral.